AUUUCCCCUGUAAAGAGCUCCUCUAAAUUUGUUCUAGGACAUUCCAGACAAGUCUCGCACAUGAAGGAAAAUGACUACUGUGAAAAUAUGAGAAAUGCAGGCUGAAAUUUAGUGAGUCUAAUUCAUGGCUUAGGAUUUAGCUCUGCAAAUAAUCAGGGACCUGGUAUUACUCAUAUGCUGGGGGCUUGUAAGGAAUGGAGAAAAUAUGACAUGUUUUUGGCUAAAUUCACAAGACGUGUACUCAGAGGGGACAUAAAAAUGCAUUAAGGGAGGAAACUCUGACUGUGGUCUAACCUACUUUGUUUAAACUUUGUGACAUGGUGUGUAGAGGAAGUCUUUCAGCUGUCUACUUUGGAUUUAGAGCUUCUAUACUUUUGGAGAUGAGUUGAAACAUUUUUCAUACUUAGCUUUCAGAACACCAGUUUGGGAGUUAAUGCAGUAUUAUUAUAUAAAUUGCAAUGCUUGAUUGGCUGGUUUAGUUCUUUUUAUUAGUAUAUGUUCUCACCUACAUGGCACACCAUCCAGUAUUUUGCUUCAUUGGGUUUAUGAGAUCACAUCAGUCUGAACAACAUCACAGCAGCGAUGCAGAGCUCAUUUUUCAAUUAGACACCAUAUCUACAAGGCAGAAUGACUGAAGAGCUUGCUCUGAUAUAGCAUCCACCCUUUUCCUCCCUUCCUCAAAGCUCUGCCACUGUAAUCCAUCCUUCUCCUGAAUGCCCAAUUAGUUCUAAUGUUCUCUCUGUCUCUCUUUUGUCCCCCAGGGGUCUACCUGCCGGUUCAGAGACUAUUUGUGCUUCCUCUCAUAUAUAUGCGCACUGGCAUGGAGGGAUAGAAGAACAAUCUAUAGCUAUCAACAGGCCCAUGUGAGCACAGCCCUGAGCUCUCCCCUGCCAGCCAUCAGCAUGUGCACUUCACCUUCAAGCUCAUUUACAAAGAGUCACAUUCUCAAGCAGAAGCUUGGCCCUCAUGAUGCACCCUGUUACCUUGGCCCAGCUGGUCCAGGGAUGUGUUGCGUACUGUCGGUUCCCUGUCUGUGCUGUAAUGAGUUGUGAGGGUGUCUUGAGUGCCCCUAAUGUGAGGUGAAUGGAGACGUUUGCAUGUGGGCUGCUCGCUUGUGCAUACUGAAUAAUGCAUUUGCUGAGGUUACCCACUAAUCUUUUUUUCUUACUGAAUUCUGCUCUCACUUUGGGCAAAAAGAAACACAAAAGGCAAGACAAAAUAAGUGCAGGAGGCCAAUGAUGAGCACCUUAAUUUACCUCCAAAAGGAAACAGCUGUUGUGGUGCCAGGCAACAAGUGGUCCCAACUUGCAGAUUGUGGGGAUUAACUGAAUUUGCCACUGUCAGUUUCCUUACGGGCCUGAUGUUCAUUCACGGCAUGAACGCUGAUCGGGGAGUGUACAAGCCACCUCUGGCUGCAUGCUGAUGCCUGGAUCUCUGUGCCAAAGCUCCUCCUGUCCUCUCCUUCAACGACUCAUUUCAGAGCUUAACGAAGAGGCUGACACAAAACAUGAAGAAGGGCCCUUGAGCGUGCCAGCAUUGCAUUUAGCCCAGGCCAUCCAACGUUGGAUGCUGCCUCGUAAACAGCGACUUGGUGUUGUGGUGACUCAAAGCCAGGUUAAUCCACCAUUGCCACAGAUGGAAUCUGAUUGGGGAUAUUCAUCUUCUUAUCUUUGCCUUCAUCCGCGUGAGUCUGCCUUACUAAGGCUUUGGGCAAUUCAUCCAGGGAAUAGAAGGAGCCACCAUCAUUUAUUUCUUGGAAGGAGCUAUUGCAGUGCUCUCUGCAGAGUUGCCAUGGAGAUCUGCCUCCGUGUUUCACAAGGACAAAGGCAAAACCGUGAGGAAAGGAUAAAUCCAUCUCCAGCUUAAAGAAGGGGACAAAUUAAACAAACAAACACAACGUGGCUGAUAUAAUCGCAUGCGCAGCACAAUUAAACAGCCGUUACCAAACCUCACCGAAUGUGACUCUUUCAUUGCUUUAAAGGGAUCAGUCUGGCUGUUUGCAGAUCGUUCAGAAAGAGAAGCUAUCAAGUGUCCUCUGAAACUAGCUAUGUUGGUUAAGUCUUCUGGCUGGUCCCCUGCUGGUGGGAGGAUGACUCACGCUCAGAGUGACCUUCUGUCAUACCACCCUCAAUAAUAUUGACAGAGGCUUGCCUGUGGUCCUUACAUUCAUCUUCAUUAGCACUUGGCUUUAAGCAUCAAUGUCAUUGUCCGCUCCUGGGAGGCCUUCACUGCUAUCUCUGCCUCUGUCUGCCCCGGCCGCCACAUCUUCCUGCCGUGGUUUAGCUUAGAGGGAACUCAAUCAGACUAUCAUCCGAGACUUGUUUGCCUGCAAUCUGCCCUUCUUAUCUGUGAAAAGUAGGACAAGGAGGAGGAAACCAUUGAUCUUGGAAGGUAAUUGCUUAAAGGGAUACUUCACCUCAAAAUUAGAAUUUGUCAUCAUUUACUCGCCGUUUGACAAGCAAAGAGCCAAUGAUGGAUAUUCUUCAGGGACAAGAUAUUAUUCAAAUAUGAGUUCUAAAGAAGGUCAUACAGGUUGAGUAAAUGAUGAGAAAACUUUAAUUUCCAUUUAGAGUCCAUUUAAAAAAAAAAAAAGCUACAGUCUGUUUGGUGUAUGUGUUUACAUGGUUUGCUGCAGUUAUGUUAUCAGUAUGUGUCCGAGUCUGUGUACAGGACAUGCGUAUGUGAUCGUGUGCUGCACAGAAAGAGUCAUCCAUCUCCGGUAGUCAGCGAGGGACCUACAGUCGGUGACCGCAGGCAGCAGGGCUCUGCCGCACAUCCACGGUCCCUAUCAGCUUCAGAGAGGUCAGAACUAAGAGAAGGGCAUAUACCUUCUUGCUUGGUGCUGAAGUGAUGCACAGUGUCCCCCUCUGAAAUAGUGAUGACUCGGCCUAAAGACAUGCUGGCAGGGGACAGGUUUGCAGGAGCUUUUGGCUGCUUUGUUGUAAAGAUCAAACAGCAAAGGAACAGUCCUGAGACUGAGUAACCCCAGCAUGAAAGAGAGAAGAGCGUCACCUUGCCGUGACACUGUUGAGACUCCAGUGUUAAGCAGGGAACCUGGACCUGGACCUGGAUCAGCGCUAUUCACAGUUCAGUGGUGCUGCAGAUAAUGAUAAUGAGGGCAGAUCUAAUUGCAGUAAGGCUGGUAUGCCACCCGCAGAUGUCUCACCUACGACUGACCUGCUGUCUGCAGCCAUGCUGCGCUAUGUAUCUUUUGCAUGCCAUAAAAGCUGUAGGAAUAUGGGUGUCUAUUUCCACACUUUUAGUUCUGCAGUGUGACUUGGCUGACAGUGUGUGAUUGCACUGUUGAUCAGAUCUUGUAACGGGCCGGCCUCCAGUGAGCCAGCUUGCCUGUCCAUUCUCAUAGCCUUUAAUAGUGUCUUUUGGAGGAAAAGAAGGAAGGACCAGUGGAGAAAAAUCUAUACCCAUCCAGAAGGACCAUCCUCAUGGCUUGUGCCUCAGAAGAGCCACAGGGAUCGAUGGCAUUUGUGUAAUCGGCUGGCCAAGGGUCGCUGGGACUCCUCACAGUGUAAUUUCUGCUCUCUGUUUUUAUCUCGGGCAAAUUGAUCACCAUGUCAGAAGAUUGACUAAACAGAGUGCAAGAGGUGACAAUUUGUUUCUUCAUUGUGCUUCAUUCCUUUAUUCUGCACAGAGGGUGAGUUUUGGAGGGUAGUGCUUUUAGAGAAUGUGACUUGGAAAACACUAUGAUUUUAACCAGACUCUACCUUCUGCAAAUUCACAUCGAUUAGAGCAAGAUUGCGGGCUUUUAGUAAAAAUAACAUGUUUUAGCCAGAACAUGUUUUACAGCAGCAUCAAAUUGGUUAUGAUGGUAAAUGUUUGUAGAUCGCAUUUUGAAGAUGGAUUUUGCAAAUUGGUUUUGCUGCACUUUUACUGGUGUUUAUAUAAUUUAUUUACUUUUUCUACCAUUUAGAAGUUCAGAAAUGUAUUAAUACUUUAAUUGAGCAAGGAUGCAUAAAAUUUAAUAUAAGUGACAGUUUAGACAUUUUGUAAUGUUAAACAGAUUUCUAUUCCAUAUAAAUGUUAUUUUUAACUUUAUAUUCCUCAAAGAGUCCCCAAAAAUGUAUCAUGGUUUCUAUGAAAAGUUUUCAAA
Carassius gibelio (silver crucian carp) is the source of this 4108-nucleotide long non-coding RNA. RefSeq lists it as uncharacterized. NCBI's taxonomy places the organism in Eukaryota, Metazoa, Chordata, Actinopteri, Cypriniformes, Cyprinidae. The record is from RefSeq and is a predicted model, not a curated record. The transcript has 8 exons.